Molecule: ribosomal RNA, 253 nt
Filed under: uncultured bacterium
Lineage: Bacteria
Description: partial 16S ribosomal RNA
Rfam family: Bacterial small subunit ribosomal RNA
Source: RNAcentral
UACAGAGGGUGCAAGCGUUAAUCGGAAUUACUGGGCGUAAAGCGUGCGUAGACGGUUAUGUAAGUCAGAUGUGAAAGCCCCGGGCUUAACCUGGGAAUGGCAUUUGAGACUGCAUAGCUAGGGUGCGGAAGAGGGAAGCGGAAUUUCCGGUGUAGCGGUGAAAUGCGUAGAUAUCGGAAGGAACACCAGUGGCGAAAGCGGCUCCCUGGUCCAGCACCGACGUUCAGGCACGAAAGCGUGGGGAGCAAACAGG